UGGGGAAUUUUGGACAAUGGCGAAAGCCUGAUCCAGCAAUGCCGCGUGUGUGAAGAAGGCCUUCGGGUUGUAAAGCACUUUUGUCCGGAAAGAAAUCCUUGGCUCUAAUACAGUCGGGGGAUGACGGUACCGGAAGAAUAAGCACCGGCUAACUACGUGCCAGCAGCCGCGGUAAUACGUAGGGUGCAAGCGUUAAUCGGAAUUACUGGGCGUAAAGCGUGCGCAGGCGGUUUGCUAAGACCGAUGUGAAAAUCCCCGGGCUCAACCUGGGAACUGCAUUGGUGACUGGCAGGCUAGAGUAUGGCAGAGGGGGGUAGAAUUCCACGUGUAGCAGUGAAAUGCGUAGAGAUGUGGAGGAAUACCGAUGGCGAAGGCAGCCCCCUGGGCCAAAUACUGACGCUCAUGCACGAAAAGGCGUGGGGAGCAAAACAGGAUUAGAUACCCCUGGGUAGUCCACGCCCUAAACGAUGUCAACUAGUGUUGGGGACUUCAUUUCCUUAGUAACGUAGCUAACGCGUGAAGUUGACCGCCUGGGGAGU
This 539-nucleotide ribosomal RNA is filed under the name uncultured bacterium. RNAcentral describes it as "partial 16S ribosomal RNA". It matches the Rfam family "Bacterial small subunit ribosomal RNA", at positions 355 to 881 of the family's 1533-position model. The record is from RNAcentral.